This 253-nucleotide ribosomal RNA is filed under the name uncultured bacterium. Its description in RNAcentral is "partial 16S ribosomal RNA". It matches the Rfam family "Bacterial small subunit ribosomal RNA", at positions 524 to 776 of the family's 1533-position model. The record is from RNAcentral.
UACGAAGGGGGCUAGCGUUGUUCGGAAUUACUGGGCGUAAAGCGCGCGCAGGCGGUUUUUCAAGUCAGUGGUUAAAGCCCGGAGCUCAACUCCGGAAAUGCCAUUGAAACUGUAAAACUUGAGGACGAGAGAGGUGAGUGGAAUUCCCAGUGUAGAGGUGAAAUUCGUAGAUAUUGGGAAGAACACCGGUGGCGAAGGCGGCUCACUGGCUCGUUUCUGACGCUCAGGCGCGAUAGCGUGGGGAUCAAACAGG